AAUGAACGCUGGCGGCAUGCCUAACACAUGCAAGUCGAACGAGAUCUUCGGAUCUAGUGGCGCACGGGUGAGUAACGCGUGGGAACCUACCUUUUAGUACGGGACAACGUUUGGAAACGGACGCUAAUACCGUAUACGCCCUCCGGGGGAAAGGUCAGCCGCUAAAAGAGGGGCCCGCGUCUGAUUAGCUUGUUGGUAAGGUAAUGGCUUACCAAGGCUACGAUCAGUAGCUGGUCUGAGAGGAUGAUCAGCCACACUGGGACUGAGACACGGCCCAG
RNAcentral lists this ribosomal RNA (278 nucleotides) under uncultured bacterium. RNAcentral describes it as "partial 16S ribosomal RNA". It matches the Rfam family "Bacterial small subunit ribosomal RNA", at positions 29 to 334 of the family's 1533-position model. The record is from RNAcentral.